AGCAAGGCACUGAAAAUGCCUAGAUGAAUAUAUUAACUCCAUAAACA
This 47-nucleotide transfer RNA is filed under the name Cervus elaphus (red deer). Its description in RNAcentral is "partial tRNA-Phe". The record is from RNAcentral. Lineage: Eukaryota; Metazoa; Chordata; Mammalia; Artiodactyla; Cervidae.